UGCAAGUCGAACGGCAGCACGGGAGCUUGCUCCUGGUGGCGAGUGGCGAACGGGUGAGUAAUAUAUCGGAACGUGCCCUAGAGUGGGGGAUAACUAGUCGAAAGAUUAGCUAAUACCGCAUACGAUCUAAGGAUGAAAGUGGGGGAUCGCAAGACCUCAUGCUCGUGGAGCGGCCGAUAUCUGAUUAGCUAGUUGGUGAGGUAAAGGCUCACCAAGGCGACGAUCAGUAGCUGGUCUGAGAGGACGACCAGCCACACUGGAACUGAGACACGGUCCAGACUCCUACGGGAGGCAGCAGUGGGGAAUUUUGGACAAUGGGCGAAAGCCUGAUCCAGCAAUGCCGCGUGAGUGAAGAAGGCCUUCGGGUUGUAAAGCUCUUUUGUCAGGGAAGAAACGGUAGAGGCUAAUAUCCUUUACUAAUGACGGUACCUGAAGAAUAAGCACCGGCUAACUACGUGCCAGCAGCCGCGGUAAUACGUAGGGUGCAAGCGUUAAUCGGAAUUACUGGGCGUAAAGCGUGCGCAGGCGGUUGUGCAAGACAGAUGUGAAAUCCCCGGGCUCAACCUGGGAAUUGCAUUUGUGACUGCACAGCUAGAGUGUGUCAGAGGGGGGUAGAAUUCCACGUGUAGCAGUGAAAUGCGUAGAUAUGUGGAGGAAUACCGAUGGCGAAGGCAGCCCCCUGGGAUAACACUGACGCUCAUGCACGAAAGCGUGGGGAGCAAACAGGAUUAGAUACCCUGGUAGUCCACGCCCUAAACGAUGUCUACUAGUUGUCGGGUCUUAAUUGACUUGGUAACGCAGCUAACGCGUGAAGUAGACCGCCUGGGGAGUACGGUCGCAAGAUUAAAACUCAAAGGAAUUGACGGGGACCCGCACAAGCGGUGGAUGAUGUGGAUUAAUUCGAUGCAACGCGAAAAACCUUACCUACCCUUGACAUGGUCGGAAUCCUGAAGAGAUUUAGGAGUGCUCGAAAGAGAACCGACACACAGGUGCUGCAUGGCUGUCGUCAGCUCGUGUCGUGAGAUGUUGGGUUAAGUCCCGCAACGAGCGCAACCCUUGUCAUUAGUUGCUACGAAAGGGCACUCUAAUGAGACUGCCGGUGACAAACCGGAGGAAGGUGGGGAUGACGUCAAGUCCUCAUGGCCCUUAUGGGUAGGGCUUCACACGUCAUACAAUGGUACAUACAGAGGGCCGCCAACCCGCGAGGGGGAGCUAAUCCCAGAAAGUGUAUCGUAGUCCGGAUUGUAGUCUGCAACUCGACUACAUGAAGUUGGAAUCGCUAGUAAUCGCGGAUCAGCAUGUCGCGGUGAAUACGUUCCCGGGUCUUGUACACACCGCCCGUCACACCAUGGGAGCGGGUUCUGCCAGAAGUAGUUAGCCUAACCGUAAGGAGGGCGAU
Molecule: ribosomal RNA, 1399 nt
Filed under: Oxalobacteraceae bacterium PRE7E
Lineage: Bacteria; Pseudomonadati; Pseudomonadota; Betaproteobacteria; Burkholderiales; Oxalobacteraceae
Description: bacterial SSU rRNA
Rfam family: Bacterial small subunit ribosomal RNA
Source: RNAcentral